RNAcentral lists this ribosomal RNA (489 nucleotides) under uncultured bacterium. RNAcentral's name for it is "partial 16S ribosomal RNA". It matches the Rfam family "Bacterial small subunit ribosomal RNA", at positions 30 to 506 of the family's 1533-position model. The record is from RNAcentral.
AUUGAACGCUGGCGGCAGGCCUAACACAUGCAAGUCGAACGGUAACAGGAAGAAGCUUGCUUCUUUGCUGACGAGUGGCGGACGGGUGAGUAAUGUCUGGGAAACUGCCUGAUGGAGGGGGAUAACUACUGGAAACGGUAGCUAAUACCGCAUAACGUCGCAAGACCAAAGAGGGGGACCUUCGGGCCUCUUGCCAUCGGAUGUGCCCAGAUGGGAUUAGCUAGUAGGUGGGGUAACGGCUCACCUAGGCGACGAUCCCUAGCUGGUCUGAGAGGAUGACCAGCCACACUGGAACUGAGACACGGUCCAGACUCCUACGGGAGGCAGCAGUGGGGAAUAUUGCACAAUGGGCGCAAGCCUGAUGCAGCCAUGCCGCGUGUAUGAAGAAGGCCUUCGGGUUGUAAAGUACUUUCAGCGGGGAGGAAGGGAGUAAAGUUAAUACCUUUGCUCAUUGACGUUACCCGAAGAAGAAGCACCGGCUAACUCCGU